Apis laboriosa (Himalayan honeybee) is the source of this 2998-nucleotide long non-coding RNA. RefSeq lists it as uncharacterized. Lineage: Eukaryota; Metazoa; Arthropoda; Insecta; Hymenoptera; Apidae. The transcript is spliced from 8 exons. The record is from RefSeq and is a predicted model, not a curated record.
UCCCGUAGAAAGGAGAAGUUUCACCAUGUGCAACAUGUCACUGCACUAGUAAAAUCUUGUCGAUUUUCUCCCUGUGAAUUUUCAUCGGUUAUACGAAAUCGUAGUCCAUAGAAUGGACAUUGCAAUCAAUUCCGGUUGAACGUUUCACGGAUCAUUGUUCCAUUUCGCAACGAGUACGUUUGUCCAUGCGGUUACAUGCAUUGUUGUUACAUUUCUGCCAAUAGAAGAAGCCUGUUUUCAUGAAGUAGAUAUCAACUACACACAAAACAAUAUGGUGACAAUGUGGUGAAAUAAAUACUGGCAAAACGCGCAAUUAAAAUGUAUAAUGAAACGUUAAAUCGCACGAGAAUUGCAGUUCUAGUAAGUGAGUUACAUCAUUCCUAUCAACAUAUCGCUCGCUCGUUCUUUUUUCCUCCCUGAUAAUGGUUCGUUCAGGAAUUACUUGGCCGAUGUUCCAACAACAAAAGUGAUUCGACCGGAUUAUUACAAGAAAGUGUAGCAAAUGCGUAAUUCGAUGGAAUACAUCGAAUAACUCGGAAUUACAUUGUGGUUGGACAGAGAUCAUCGUGGAAAGGAGGGUUGAAACCACGUAGUGGACGAGAGAAGGAACGGUCGCGACGCGUUGGCGAGAAGAAAACAGCUGGAUCGCCAUUCGUUUUCGCGGUUAUUGUAGACAGACCCGGUUCACAAUAUACAUACACUUUGUUAUCAAUGUACGUGUAAGCGCGUACCUACGAAUUCCUUCCGGAGCCAUGCUCGUUCCACUAAAUACGCGAGAUCCAAUUUGGACGAAUCCCAAAAUUCGAAGAAAUAGUACCACGCAUAUAUGCCCGCAUAUACAUACAUGCAUUCAAUUUCAACCAAAAACUUUCCAGCAAAUGUUAUUGGUACCUUCGACUUCAUUCUCUAUUAUUUCUAUACUUCUACUUUGAUGAGAUUUGCCUUCCGUGAAAUCUCUUUUUCGAGACAAAAACAUUCGUUCUGAACUUAUUAGAUCCAAUACAAAGAUAAGAUUAUUGUAUCUAACAAGUGUAAAUGUUUCUGUUAAUCGUCCUCUAACUGGAAAUUCACGAUUCAACCUGGUCUCAACUAAACCAGAUACAUAGGCAAGCAACAAGAGUCAACUCGUGAAACUACACAAGACGUUAAACUCAAGGAAGAUGAAAGUACGAAGUCUGCUUGUGACGCGAGUUAACUUCAAACGUUCGAAACGACAAGAUUUCAACUCGGUCGGUUGAUGACAGCUUUGUUACCGACUGUACCAUACUGGUUCCAUACAUAUGCAAAAACAUUCGGUACUUACCUCCUUGCGAAGAUGAUACGAAACAGUUACAAGAUAAAGAAAAUAAAAGAUUCGAGAAAAAACUGGAAAAGAAAUAAUCUAACCAAUAUUCCAAUAUAACGAGAGAACAAACAUAAGUGGAAUAACUCGGAAGUUAAGAUAAACAGAAUUUAUAAUGGAAAUUUCUUUUCAUAAUCGGUCGAGUUUUACGAAACUUCCUACGUAUUUUAAUCCUGGAUCCUGAAACGAGUUAUGGUUAACCCGGUUGCUGCUGAAUUAACCAGAAAAUAAGACCAAACAUCGAAAUUUCGCAAGUUUUUAAAUUAUAAUUCUUAUUGCGUAGUGUGUAGCAAUUAACGUUUCUAUUCUUCUAAUAUUUCUUUUUCAAUUAAAUUAUCUUUAAUAUUCUUUAAUUUAAUUUAAAAAAUAGAAGAAAAAAGUAAAAACAACUAAAAUUAACUUUUUAUUUAUCUUUUAAAUAUUAUAUAUAAUAAUGGAUUGUACAAAUUAAAGUGAAUUUGAAGUCGAAAUACAAAAUUAAAUGAAUAUUAUUAUUAAAUAAAAAUAAAUUAAUAUUUAUUUUCAAAAAACAUUCUGGUUUCUAUGUUUCGAGUACAUGACAUAUUUCUAAAAAACAAGAUUAGAAGAAGUGAUGAACAAUGCAAACAAUGAACAAAUAAUUAUUUCCAAAAUGAAUUGAGAAAGAAUUAAAGUUCUCAGUUUAGGAGACCACUGGAAAUUAGCUAACUUUUCCGACGGUUUCUCCAGGAUAAACUAAUUUCGAGCACCAGAAACGAAUCGCUGUUCAUCAUAAUGCGAACUCUGCGACAUUCACCAGUCGAAACACGAAUCCGGACGGUCUGUCCAGCUGUUUAACGCAUAUCUCCAGCAUACCAAGCUACUUGCCCGUGAAAGAUUAUUUCCCAACAAUGAUGGACACAGAAAUUGGAACUGGAAGAGAAUCCUCAGAAACAUCUACAAUGGUUUAGAUAGUCGCCAGAAACGAUUUUGGAGAAAGUGACCAGUAGUGACCACUGACUAGCCACAAAGUUCACAUGCUGUCCACAAGAAAUAGUCGGACUCGAGGGACAAUUGAUGGUGAUAACAAUAGUUAUAAAUUCCAUGAUAAAUGAAACGGUACCAUCUUCGUUCUUUUAAUUAUUCAAUUUGAAUCUUUUCAAAGUAUGAGAAAAAAGAUCGUAUGAGGAAAGCUUUUAAAACCAGAGACUUUAAGGGAAAAGAAAAGAUGUACAGGAGAUCCAGAUAGGAAGGCUAAGGAAACGAGAAUUCACUGAUAAGGAGACACAGAGGACUAAGGAGAGAUUCAGAGGAAGAAACACUGUGAAAAAGUAGAUAGACAAAAGAAGAAAGAAAUGCAUAAAAGAGAAAAACUGAAAGAAGGAAGACUUUCAGAAUCUAUAAGCGGAAACUUAGUGAAGGAAUGAUGCGUGAAAAGAAAAAAAUUUCUCUAAAAAUCUAUAAAUAAAGAUAAAGGAUAAUGCAUGAAGAAAGGAAAAAUUAAGAAAAUAUUAAACGUGACAGAAAUUAAACGUAAUAUAAAAAAUAAUACAUAAUACAUAAUAAAAAUAAUACAUAAUAUAAUACAUAAUAUAAAAAAUAAAAGGUAGAGAAAAUAUAUAAUUGCAUAAGUUGUCAUAAUCUAACUCUAUCGGGCAUCUUGCGUAAAGUGAAAUUAUCUUUUACUUACGCUUAUGU